AUGGAGGGGCCGCCGCGGCUGAUGGCGGGGGCGGUGAGGGAGAUAUGGGAGCUGCCGGACGGGCCGGGGACCAUCCAGCCGGUGCUGCAGGUGGCGGACCUACGCACCGUCACCACCAAGAACCCCGUCGGCCACCAGUCGGAGCGCUACCGCAUGCUGCUCUCCGAUGGCGUCCACUCCCAGCAGUCCAUGCUCUCCACCAACCACAACCACCUCGUCAAGACCGGCACCCUCCGCUAA
RNAcentral lists this ribosomal RNA (240 nucleotides) under Triticum aestivum (bread wheat). RNAcentral's name for it is "partial small subunit ribosomal RNA". Lineage: Eukaryota; Viridiplantae; Streptophyta; Magnoliopsida; Poales; Poaceae. The record is from RNAcentral.